RNAcentral lists this long non-coding RNA (682 nucleotides) under Gopherus agassizii (Agassiz's desert tortoise). RNAcentral describes it as "lncRNA (ENSGAGG00000002597.1)". The record is from RNAcentral. Lineage: Eukaryota; Metazoa; Chordata; Testudines; Testudinidae.
AAACGAGACUUGUCGGGGAUAGGGCGGGACACUUCCGGCUGUUGCGCUCGCUUCCGUUCGCAGUCGGCGGCGUGGUGGGGAGCUGUUGGUUCGGACUGUGGCAGGAUCCGAUGCCAUCCUCGGUAACGGCGCCUUGUCCCUGCCAAAAGCAUGCAGGAGGAAGGGAAGCCCAGCAGCGCCCUGCUGAGCCCUGGGUGCAGCACCUCUUUCUGUUUGGAAAUCAAGGAUGAGGCUUUUGGAUGAGAGUAUCCCUCCCACUAACCACCUAUGAGUCUCUAAGGAAGGAGGAUGCAAUGUGUCUUCCACCCAAUGAUCCUGUACUAAAGAAAGUGCCUGUCUCAAGCCAGGGGCUGGUAACUUUGACUGCAAGCAGGUAAGGAAUUGCUCGAGAAAUGUUUCUCUGUGCUUGUGAGAAAUCAACAGGCUUUUGGGGCAGCAGGGGUGGGUCAUGGUGUACAGAGUGCUGAUUCCUUGAACCUCUUCCUUGCCAGGGUAGCAUAGGAAUGUAGUGGGUGAUCAUUAGUGUGUUCAGGUAUUGCCCUCCUGAGCAGAUUGAAUGCUGUCUCUCAGCAGGCUGUAACCUGAUGUGCUGGAUGACAAAGGGCAGAGGAAAUGAUGGUCCAAAUGUUGCCGAAAGGAGCAGAACUCUACUUGAUGUCCAGUUUCCUACACAUUCCUCCUC